Molecule: ribosomal RNA, 2414 nt
Filed under: Salmonella enterica
Lineage: Bacteria; Pseudomonadati; Pseudomonadota; Gammaproteobacteria; Enterobacterales; Enterobacteriaceae
Description: 23S ribosomal RNA
Rfam family: Bacterial large subunit ribosomal RNA
Source: RNAcentral
GGUUAACGGAGCGAAAGCGACGUUCAACCGCAAAAGAAGCAGAGGGGGCUUAGUGGUGGGGUGACUGCGUACCUUUUGUAUAAUGGGUCAGCGACUUAUAUUCUGUAGCAAGGUUAACCGAAUAGGGGAGCCGGAGGGAAACCGAGUCUUAACCGGGCGUUAAGUUGCAGGGUAUAGACCCGAAACCCGGUGAUCUAGCCAUGGGCAGGUUGAAGGUUGGGUAACACUAACUGGAGGACCGAACCGACUAAUGUUGAAAAAUUAGCGGAUGACCUGUGGCUGGGGGUGAAAGGCCAAUCAAACCGGGAGAUAGCUGGUUCUCCCCGAAAGCUAUUUAGGUAGCGCCUCGUGAACUCAUCUCCGGGGGUAGAGCACUGUUUCGGCUAGGGGGCCAUCCCGGCUUACCAACCCGAUGCAAACUGCGAAUACCGGAGAAUGUUAUCACGGGAGACACACGGCGGGUGCUAACGUCCGUCGUGAAGAGGGAAACAACCCAGACCGCCAGCUAAGGUCCCAAAGUCAUGGUUAAGUGGGAAACGAUGUGGGAAGGCCCAGACAGCCAGGAUGUUGGCUUAGAAGCAGCCAUCAUUUAAAGAAAGCGUAAUAGCUCACUGGUCGAGUCGGCCUGCGCGGAAGAUGUAACGGGGCUAAACCAUGCACCGAAGCUGCGGCAGCGACACUCAGGUGUUGUUGGGUAGGGGAGCGUUCUGUAAGCCUGCGAAGGUGGCCUGUGAGGGUUGCUGGAGGUAUCAGAAGUGCGAAUGCUGACAUAAGUAACGAUAAAGCGGGUGAAAAGCCCGCUCGCCGGAAGACCAAGGGUUCCUGUCCAACGUUAAUCGGGGCAGGGUGAGUCGACCCCUAAGGCGAGGCCGAAAGGCGUAGUCGAUGGGAAACGGGUUAAUAUUCCCGUACUUGGUGUUACUGCGAAGGGGGGACGGAGAAGGCUAUGUUGGCCGGGCGACGGUUGUCCCGGUUUAAGCGUGUAGGUGUGUGUUCCAGGUAAAUCCGGUUCACUUUAACACUGAGGCGUGAUGACGAGGCACUACGGUGCUGAAGCAACAAAUGCCCUGCUUCCAGGAAAAGCCUCUAAGCAUCAGGUAACAUCAAAUCGUACCCCAAACCGACACAGGUGGUCAGGUAGAGAAUACCAAGGCGCUUGAGAGAACUCGGGUGAAGGAACUAGGCAAAAUGGUGCCGUAACUUCGGGAGAAGGCACGCUGACACGUAGGUGAAGUGAUUUACUCAUGGAGCUGAAGUCAGUCGAAGAUACCAGCUGGCUGCAACUGUUUAUUAAAAACACAGCACUGUGCAAACACGAAAGUGGACGUAUACGGUGUGACGCCUGCCCGGUGCCGGAAGGUUAAUUGAUGGGGUCAGCGCAAGCGAAGCUCCUGAUCGAAGCCCCGGUAAACGGCGGCCGUAACUAUAACGGUCCUAAGGUAGCGAAAUUCCUUGUCGGGUAAGUUCCGACCUGCACGAAUGGCGUAAUGAUGGCCAGGCUGUCUCCACCCGAGACUCAGUGAAAUUGAACUCGCUGUGAAGAUGCAGUGUACCCGCGGCAAGACGGAAAGACCCCGUGAACCUUUACUAUAGCUUGACACUGAACAUUGAGCCUUGAUGUGUAGGAUAGGUGGGAGGCUUUGAAGUGUGGACGCCAGUCUGCAUGGAGCCGGCCUUGAAAUACCACCCUUUAAUGUUUGAUGUUCUAACGUGGACCCGUGAUCCGGGUUGCGGACAGUGUCUGGUGGGUAGUUUGACUGGGGCGGUCUCCUCCUAAAGAGUAACGGAGGAGCACGAAGGUUGGCUAAUCCUGGUCGGACAUCAGGAGGUUAGUGCAAUGGCAUAAGCCAGCUUGACUGCGAGCGUGACGGCGCGAGCAGGUGCGAAAGCAGGUCAUAGUGAUCCGGUGGUUCUGAAUGGAAGGGCCAUCGCUCAACGGAUAAAAGGUACUCCGGGGAUAACAGGCUGAUACCGCCCAAGAGUUCAUAUCGACGGCGGUGUUUGGCACCUCGAUGUCGGCUCAUCACAUCCUGGGGCUGAAGUAGGUCCCAAGGGUAUGGCUGUUCGCCAUUUAAAGUGGUACGCGAGCUGGGUUUAGAACGUCGUGAGACAGUUCGGUCCCUAUCUGCCGUGGGCGCUGGAGAACUGAGGGGGGCUGCUCCUAGUACGAGAGGACCGGAGUGGACGCAUCACUGGUGUUCGGGUUGUCAUGCCAAUGGCACUGCCCGGUAGCUAAAUGCGGAAGAGAUAAGUGCUGAAAGCAUCUAAGCACGAAACUUGCCCCGAGAUGAGUUCUCCCUGAGACUUUAGGUCUCCUGAAGGAACGUUGAAGACGACGACGUUGAUAGGCCGGGUGUGUAAGCGCAGCGAUGCGUUGAGCUAACCGGUACUAAUGAACCGUGAGGCUUAACCUU